UACGUAGGUGGCAAGCGUUGUCCGGAUUUAUUGGGCUUAAAGGGUGCGUAGGCGGCCCUGUAAGUCUGUGGUGAAAUACUCCAGCUUAACUGGAGGGGUGCCAUUGAUACUGCAGGGCUUGAGUGGAGUCGAAGUAGGCGGAAUUGACGGUGUAGCGGUGAAAUGCUUAGAUAUCGUCAAGAACACCGAUAGUGAAGACAGCUUACUAGGCUUCUACUGACGCUGAGGCACGAAAGUGUGGGGAUCAAACAGG
RNAcentral lists this ribosomal RNA (253 nucleotides) under uncultured bacterium. RNAcentral describes it as "partial 16S ribosomal RNA". It matches the Rfam family "Bacterial small subunit ribosomal RNA", at positions 524 to 776 of the family's 1533-position model. The record is from RNAcentral.